RNAcentral lists this ribosomal RNA (378 nucleotides) under uncultured bacterium. RNAcentral's name for it is "bacterial SSU rRNA". It matches the Rfam family "Bacterial small subunit ribosomal RNA", at positions 523 to 898 of the family's 1533-position model. The record is from RNAcentral.
AAACGUAGGUGGCGAGCGUUAUCCGGAAUCAUUGGGCGUAAAGGGCGUCUAGGCGGCUGGGUAAGUUGUGCGUGAAAGCGUCCUGCUCAACGGGGCGAGGUCGUACGAAACUGCCGAGCUUGAGGGCCGGAGAGGGGGGUGGAAUUCCCGGUGUAGCGGUGAAAUGCGUAGAGAUCGGGAGGAACACCAGUGGCGAAGGCGGCCUCCUGGCCGGUUUCUGACGCUGAAGCGCGAAAGCGUGGGGAGCGAACGGGAUUAGAUACCCCGGCAGUCCACGCCGUAAACGAUGGGGACUAGGUGUACGGGAUGGGAGACAUCCUGUGUGCCGCAGCCAACGCGGUAAGUCCCCCGCCUGGGGAGUACGGCCGCAAGGCUAAA